AUUGAACGCUGGCGGAAUGCUUUACACAUGCAAGUCGAACGAUGAACCUUAGCUUGCUAAGGGGAUUAGUGGCGAACGGGUGAGUAAUGUAUCGGAACGUAUCCAAUAAUGGGGGAUAACUAGUCGAAAGAUUAGCUAAUACCGCAUACGUCCUACGGGAGAAAGCUAGGGACCUUCGGGCCUGGCAUUAAUGGAGCGGCCGAUAUCUGAUUAGCUAGUUGGUGGGGUAAAGGCUCACCAAGGCGACGAUCGGUAGCUGGUCUGAGAGGACGACCAGCGACACUGGAACUGAGACACGGUCCAGACUCCUACGGGAGGCAGCAGUGGGGAAUUUUGGACAAUGGGCGAAAGCCUGAGCCAGCCAUUCCGCGUGAGUGAAGAAGGCCUUCGGGUUGUAAAGCUCUUUCGCAAGGGAAGAAAACUUAAGCUCUAACAUAGCUUGAGGUUGACGGUACCUUGAUAAGAAGCACCGGCUAACUCUGUGCCAGCCGCCGCGGUAA
This 500-nucleotide ribosomal RNA is filed under the name uncultured bacterium. RNAcentral's name for it is "partial 16S ribosomal RNA". It matches the Rfam family "Bacterial small subunit ribosomal RNA", at positions 30 to 523 of the family's 1533-position model. The record is from RNAcentral.